RNAcentral lists this small nuclear RNA (107 nucleotides) under Jaculus jaculus (lesser Egyptian jerboa). The record is from RNAcentral. Lineage: Eukaryota; Metazoa; Chordata; Mammalia; Rodentia; Dipodidae.
GUGCUCACUUUGGGAGCACAUAUACUAAAAUUGGAGUAAUACAGAGAAGAUUAGCAUGGCCCCUGUGCAAGGAUGACAUGCAGAUUCAUGAAGUGUUCCGUAUUUCU